RNAcentral lists this long non-coding RNA (298 nucleotides) under Ananas comosus (pineapple). Its description in RNAcentral is "long non-coding RNA (ACOM_LNC030057)". Lineage: Eukaryota; Viridiplantae; Streptophyta; Magnoliopsida; Poales; Bromeliaceae. The record is from RNAcentral.
UUUAAGAUUUCACUUAAUUGAUACGUAGAGGUGGUGGAUUAUGAUCGAAAAAUUAGUAGUUCAAAAGGUUCGUUACUGGUGAAAUUUUGUAUUUCAAGAGCCAUCAAAUUAUUUAAAUUAAAUAAAUUGAAAGAUUGGAUGCUAAAAUUAAAAUUUUAAAAGGUUGGAUAGUGGAAUUAAAAUGAACCAGAGUUCAGAUAAAUUUUUUUUUUAUAUAUAUUUCUACCAAAAUAUAAUUUAAAAAUUUGGUGCUAAGAAGUAUAGAAUAUUUCUAGAAGAUAAGGAGUGCAUGUUGGAA